RNAcentral lists this ribosomal RNA (464 nucleotides) under uncultured bacterium. RNAcentral describes it as "partial 16S ribosomal RNA". It matches the Rfam family "Bacterial small subunit ribosomal RNA", at positions 28 to 507 of the family's 1533-position model. The record is from RNAcentral.
GACGAACGCUGGCGGCGUGCUUAACACAUGCAAGUCGAACGGAAAGGCCCAGCUUGCUGGGUGCUCGAGUGGCGAACGGGUGAGUAACACGUGGGUGAUCUGCCUCUAACUUCGGGAUAAGCUUGGGAAACUGGGUCUAAUACCGGAUAGGACAAUCGUUUAGUGUCGGUUGUGGAAAGUUUUUUCGGUUAGGGAUGAGCCCGCGGCCUAUCAGCUUGUUGGUGGGGUAAUGGCCUACCAAGGCGUCGACGGGUAGCCGGCCUGAGAGGGUGGACGGCCACAUUGGGACUGAGAUACGGCCCAGACUCCUACGGGAGGCAGCAGUGGGGAAUAUUGCACAAUGGGCGGAAGCCUGAUGCAGCGACGCCGCGUGGGGGAUGACGGCCUUCGGGUUGUAAACCUCUUUCGACAGGGACGAAGCUUUGGUGACGGUACCUGUAUAAGAAGCACCGGCUAACUACGUG